CGAGAGUGGACAAGAGGAUAACGAGAUUGUUAAAGACAAAGGGGGCAAGAAAUCCUGAUUUAUCUUAAGUUCUUUAUUUGGAUUUCCCCCUUCUAUUUGUUCUGAAUCCUUCAAGUUUCAACCUUUCAACAUAUUGGGUAUCAUUUGCUUCCAUCGUUUCAAUUGUUUGGGCCUUAGAAGGAAAUACCUCAUUAGAACAUUGGUUGUUGGCUUUAUCAUCUGUUUUUGGAUGCAGAGUUGAUUUUUUUGUGGUCAUUUGAUUUUGUUUAUGUGGAGUUUAUGUUGUAGUUUUCCUCCUCAUUUAGGGAUAUUAAUGAUUUAUACAGGGUGCUAUUAUUGGUAUUAUUGACUGAAUAUCUGUUACUAAUUCUGUUUAAGAUCUUCCUUGCUUCAAUCUUUCAAUAUGACUUCUGAGUCUGAUUUAUGAAAUGUGUGAGAAGCUAAGCAGUAGUUCUUCUUUUUCAUUUUGACCAAAUUCUAUCUCCUUAGAUGCAGCUCUUCAUAAUUUAUGGGUACCCUGCACAAGAGCUAAGCAAAACACAUCUCUAAAAGUGAGAUCAAUUUCUUCCUGCUUUCAUUGGCAUUAUUGCAGCUUUGGUUGACAUUGCUUCUUGAAAAUGUUCACCGUGGCGCCUCAAUUUGAAGAGGCAACCCAUCAGCGUAUUUGCUUCGGCGCUCAUUUCGUCCAUUCAAAGGCGGUCAUUGUCACCUUCGUUGUUGGCCCACUUCAUUGGUUGUGUUUGGGAAUGUUGGUUUCGUGAUGGUUAUAGUGAGGGGUCAUUCAUUCACUUUUUCCUUUGAACCCCUUUUCAUCUAAUCAUUUCAUCAUUUCUUCCUUUACAGGAUGAUUAUAACCUUUCAAGAAUCUAUGAUCAUGCCAAAUAAAAAUGGACAUAAAUUUGUAUGUUAUGGCUGCACAUUACACGCCCUUAUCUUUUUCUUUGGCCACAAUCAAGUCUGAAUCAGUUGUUGGCUCCAUUCUUAGCAGUUGGGCCUUUCUUCACUUUUGUCGUAUUCUGUUCCGGUG
Lotus japonicus is the source of this 1027-nucleotide long non-coding RNA. RefSeq lists it as uncharacterized. The transcript has 3 exons. The record is from RefSeq and is a predicted model, not a curated record. NCBI's taxonomy places the organism in Eukaryota, Viridiplantae, Streptophyta, Magnoliopsida, Fabales, Fabaceae.